GAUCCUGGCUCAGGAUGAACGCUGGCGGCGUGCCUAAUACAUGCAAGUAGAACGCUGAAGCUUGGUGCUUGCACCGAGCGGAUGAGUUGCGAACGGGUGAGUAACGCGUAGGUAACCUGCCUCUUAGCGGGGGAUAACUAUUGGAAACGAUAGCUAAUACCGCAUAAAAGUCGACAUUGCAUGAUGUUGAUUUGAAAGGUGCAAAUGCAUCACUAAGAGAUGG
Molecule: ribosomal RNA, 223 nt
Filed under: uncultured bacterium
Lineage: Bacteria
Description: partial 16S ribosomal RNA
Rfam family: Bacterial small subunit ribosomal RNA
Source: RNAcentral